AGCGAACGCUGGCGGUAGGCCUAACACAUGCAAGUCGAACGGCAGCACAGUAAGAGCUUGCUCUUACGGGUGGCGAGUGGCGGACGGGUGAGGAAUACAUCGGAAUCUACUUUUUCGUGGGGGAUAACGUAGGGAAACUUACGCUAAUACCGCAUACGACCUACGGGUGAAAGCAGGGGAUCUUCGGACCUUGCGCGAUUGAAUGAGCCGCUGUCGGAUUAGCUAGUUGGCGGGGUAAAGGCCCACCAAGGCGACGAUCCGUAGCUGGUCUGAGAGGAUGGUCAGCCACACUGGAACUGAGACACGGUCCAGACUCCUACGGGAGGCAGCAGUGGGGAAUAUUGGACAAUGGGCGCAAGCCUGAUCCAGCCAUACCGCGUGGGUGAAGAAGGCCUUCGGGUUGUAAAGCCCUUUUGUUGGGAAAGAAAAGCAGCAGGUUAAUACCCCGCUGUUCUGACGGUACCCAAAGAAUAAGCACCGGCUAACUUCGUG
Molecule: ribosomal RNA, 492 nt
Filed under: uncultured bacterium
Lineage: Bacteria
Description: partial 16S ribosomal RNA
Rfam family: Bacterial small subunit ribosomal RNA
Source: RNAcentral